GUGGAGGAUCAUUACUGAGUUUACGCUCUACAACCCUUUGUGAACAUACCUAUAACUGUUGCUUCGGCGGGUAGGGUCUCCGCGACCCUCCCGGCCUCCCGCCUCCGGGCGGGUCGGCGCCCGCCGGAGGAUAACCAAACUCUGAUUUAACGACGUUUCUUCUGAGUGGUACAAGCAAAUAAUCAAAACUUUUAACAACGGAUCUCUUGGUUCUGGCAUCGAUGAAGAACGCAGCGAAAUGCGAUAAGUAAUGUGAAUUGCAGAAUUCAGUGAAUCAUCGAAUCUUUGAACGCACAUUGCGCCCGCCAGCAUUCUGGCGGGCAUGCCUGUUCGAGCGUCAUUUCAACCCUCAAGCUCUGCUUGGUGUUGGGGCCCUACAGCUGAUGUAGGCCCUCAAAGGUAGUGGCGGACCCUCUCGGAGCCUCCUUUGCGUAGUAACUUUACGUCUCGCACUGGGAUCCGGAGGGACUCUUGCCGUAAAACCCCCAAUUUUCCAAAGGUUGACCUC
This 508-nucleotide ribosomal RNA is filed under the name Colletotrichum gloeosporioides. Its description in RNAcentral is "eukaryotic LSU rRNA". The stretch from base 187 to 340 matches the Rfam family "5.8S ribosomal RNA". The record is from RNAcentral. Lineage: Eukaryota; Fungi; Ascomycota; Sordariomycetes; Glomerellales; Glomerellaceae.